CGAGGGAGAUAGGACGAGAUGCCAGUAACUGACUCAUCGUAGUGGUAUGUUGAUGCUGCUGUUACUGGUGUAAAUUACAAACAGUGUAGAGUGCCACGAAAGAGUCUAAGUUGGAAGGCAUGCUAGAGUAUUGUGCCGUUCUCUUGCACUGGUCAGGUUUUAAUGUUGAGUUCAGAUGUUGAUCGACUGUGGAUACGGUGGAGUCCGACCCGUCGGCGUAGAUUCUGGAUAACCUUGGAGAAACUGUUCCAGUAAUGGAUGGCGAUCCAACCCCACUUGACCUAGAACCUGAUUGCAGCUAGGAGGUUGCAAUUUCAGGACACUGCGUCCGUGAGCUUUGAUUAAUUUUUCCCUUUGCCCAAGGGAUCAGGUAGAACUGUGUGUACAUUGACACUUGUUUCCUUUGGAGGAGGACACGCAGACUGCACUGACUCGGUACUCGGUAAACCGAGGGACCGUGAACUCUGUCUCACCAAGACCCGAGUUUAGUUAAGUUAGUAGUUCAAUGUGAUCUGAUUUGAGUACCACAUUGUUUGAAAGAUGUUGUGUUAACUUAAUAAUUGUGUAGUGUACAUAUACUGUAUUCUUCUGAUAAUUGUUUAGUGUAUAAGUUUGGGAUUCUAAUUUGUUAUUUAUUUUAUUUCCUGACUGUUAUAUUUGUUCCUACUGGGUAUUUUAUACAAUAUACGAAGUUAACUUAA
Long non-coding RNA from Ictalurus punctatus (channel catfish), 701 nucleotides. RefSeq lists it as uncharacterized. The record is from RefSeq and is a predicted model, not a curated record. The transcript is spliced from 2 exons. NCBI's taxonomy places the organism in Eukaryota, Metazoa, Chordata, Actinopteri, Siluriformes, Ictaluridae.